Long non-coding RNA from Lepidothrix coronata (blue-crowned manakin), 471 nucleotides. RefSeq lists it as uncharacterized. The record is from RefSeq and is a predicted model, not a curated record. The transcript has 3 exons. Lineage: Eukaryota; Metazoa; Chordata; Aves; Passeriformes; Pipridae.
UUCUUGAGCCAUGGAAAUAUUCCCUCUCUCCUGGACACUUCAGCUCAUCAACAAACCCUUGCCAGCGCCUUUUCCUGAGAAGUUUUCAAAUAUCAUAUGAUUUAUAUGAGAUAAAAUACUUCACUACAAUGCCCCACAGCCCCUAAAACCAGAUGGUCCAGGCAGAGUUUACUGCUGAACUUUGUUCCCCUGGAGAUGGGAGCUUCCCUCCCUGGAAGGAGCCCUUCCAAAAGCCGCCUCUGAGUUGCUAAGAAACAGCUUGUCACUGUGGCAUGGGCUGUAAUCAGUUGUGUACAGAGCGUUCAACGCUCCUGGUACAUCUGCAUCAAUUAUGUAUUGUCGGUGUGAUUUUUCUUCCUGUGGAAACUUGGCUUCCAGAGGCUCUUUGUGGUGCUCCAGCCAUGACCUAAACCCUCCUUUGCUGAAUAAUUCCUACCGAGACAACACAGUUUCCCCGCUGUGUUUUCCACG